GUUUUAGGUCAAGCAUGUAAUCUGAUAAGUCUGCCAUUAAAUAUUGAGGAAUGCCCUUGCAAAAGUGGUCUUACCUGCCAAGAAUCAAACGGAAGGCUUACUUGUGCAAAAGCAUGAAGAGAAAAUCCUGACACUGAAAUAUUCUUAUUCCUUGUUAUGUUGCCGAACCUUUCUUCCUAAAACUUCGUCAUAUUACGAACUUGUAUGUCAAAACUGCAAUAAAAAUGUUUAUUCAGCUGCAAAA
This is a long non-coding RNA of Stegodyphus dumicola, 244 nucleotides long. NCBI's taxonomy places the organism in Eukaryota, Metazoa, Arthropoda, Arachnida, Araneae, Eresidae. The record is from RefSeq and is a predicted model, not a curated record.